This is a long non-coding RNA of Oxyura jamaicensis (ruddy duck), 924 nucleotides long. RefSeq lists it as uncharacterized. The record is from RefSeq and is a predicted model, not a curated record. The transcript has 2 exons. Lineage: Eukaryota; Metazoa; Chordata; Aves; Anseriformes; Anatidae.
UACUAAUAUUUUUAGGUGCUUGUGAGGCACCUAUCCAUGUAUUCAUCUUCCACCACUGAAUAUAUUUAAAGGAGGUGAAUCUCAGCAUCUGAUUCUGCCUGUUCUUGCACAUACGUAGUCCAGACUGGAAGUGUGACAGCUGCAGGAUAACAGAGACCUUUGUUUUGUUGAGGCAGGACAGAUGGAAUCUCAGGGUUCUUUUGUGGAAGCAGAUUGUGGUGACAAUCCUUAUGUCAGCAAGAAAACAAGAGUUUUACCUGGACUGAAUUAAUGUUUUAAGGUUUCCUCUGUCAGUCAGUUUAUUCUUCAAAGUCCUUUAAGCUUUUUAGUAUUUGAAUUUUUAAACACCUUAGAAGGCUCAUAGUAAUUAAUGUUAAUGUGAUAACAUGUAUUCCAACCACAGCAACUCAGUGCUAAGCAUUUGUUAUAAAAAGUUAGUGCAAGAUGUUUCAAAAAAUUAUGUGAAUGUUUAUUGUCUUUUAAGAAAAAUCAUCACAAAAACAUCAAAGUCCUUGCAUUUAAAGUGAAGAUUGAGACUUUGUUCUGCACACUUUGUGUGCACACUUUGUUGUGUGUAAUAUAAUGUGUCUUAUCCCUAAAUAUUUCUACUUGCUAAGAAGAAUUUAAUUAAACAAAGGAAAAAAAUAUUUCAAGACAUCACUUAAUUCUCAGUUCAUUCUGAUUAUAAUGGACUCUAAUCAACUGAAAGUAGAGCGCAAAAUUAAUGUGAAGUGUUACUUCUGAUUUUCAUUUUUAAAAGGAAGAUUUAUUUUUAUGAGUCUUUAAAAGGUUUUAAUCAAUAUGAGCUGAUUCUUUAGAACAUGCCUCAUCAAAAAAAAAAAAAAAAAAAAAAGCUUUUUAAAAAAAAAUGUUGCUACUUGUUGCAAUAUGGUAAAACAGGUUGACUUAGGAGCACUUCUGUAA